GUGGGGAACAGAGUGUAUCCUUCUGAAACACACACGUGACCCUGCUGGCCCCCGCACACCAAGCAUAUCUUGCUUUGUGAUCCAAGGAAGCUCACAGAGUCUAGAAAACCCACUGAGAGAAAAAUAUCUUCAAAGAAAAGUCAGUUCUCAGAAGAAUGUUAAAGAGUGAAGACUGGUGUUUAUCAUUCUACCCUCUACCUCCAUGAGAACAACGCUUAUAGCUCCUGAAUCCCUGCCUUCGGAACUUCUCUCCUUGGCUUGUGAGUGGUCCCGGAGUAUGGGAGAGACUUCAUGCCCAGGAGGACAUUUUUUUCUACAAGAGCGUGACACAGGUCAAAUCAACGUACAAACUCCAUGCGUGAACAUAUGAAUUUGCCUGUAACUUCUGCCUCUCCGCCUUUGCAAACCCUCACCUGCGAGCCAUCAGGGAAUCUGGAUCUGGAUCGUGAUCUUCCUGAUUCUCCG
Callithrix jacchus (white-tufted-ear marmoset) is the source of this 465-nucleotide long non-coding RNA. RefSeq lists it as uncharacterized. The record is from RefSeq and is a predicted model, not a curated record. Lineage: Eukaryota; Metazoa; Chordata; Mammalia; Primates; Cebidae.